Molecule: ribosomal RNA, 301 nt
Filed under: uncultured bacterium
Lineage: Bacteria
Description: partial 16S ribosomal RNA
Rfam family: Bacterial small subunit ribosomal RNA
Source: RNAcentral
CAGCAGCCGCGGGAAUACGUAGGUGGCAAGCGUUGUCCGGAAUUAUUGGGCGUAAAGGGCCCGCAGGCGGUUUCUUAAGUCUGAUGUGAAAGCCCCCGGCUCAACCGGGGAGGGUCAUUGGAAACUGGGAAACUUGAGUGCAGAAGAGGAGAGUGGGAUUCCACGUGUAGCGGUGAAAUGCGUAGAGAUGUGGAGGAACACCAGUGGCGAAGGCGACUCUCUGGUCUGUAACUGACGCUGAGGAGCGAAAGCGUGGGGAGCGAACAGGAUUAGAGACCCCUGUAGUCCCUGUCUCUUAUAC